GUGGCGGAGGAACCGUCCGCCAAGCGUCAUCAUGCCGAGACGUCGGACAAGAGGAGCAACCUCGUCGACAUUAACGUCCCCGGCGAGAAGCGCGAGUACACAACAACCCUCAAAGGGGUUGAGCUCCACGGCAACGAGACGCUGGAGAUUGUCUGCACCAGCAUACCAGACAAGGCCGACGAGGUGAUCUCCAGGCUCUGGAUGAAGCUUGGCGGCAGGUUUCGUAGGAUCGUUGGCGUUGGUGUCCACUACACCAACGAAGAUGAACCUCCCCAGAUGGAAGCAGUCCUGCAGUUGUGCGUCGACGAACUCUGCUUGGUGUACCACAUCGCAGCGGCCACAAAAUGGUGA
RNAcentral lists this ribosomal RNA (351 nucleotides) under Triticum aestivum (bread wheat). Its description in RNAcentral is "partial small subunit ribosomal RNA". Lineage: Eukaryota; Viridiplantae; Streptophyta; Magnoliopsida; Poales; Poaceae. The record is from RNAcentral.